GAAAUCCACACCCCAGAAGGAUUCACAAAUCUGAUGUGAAAACCAUCGCCAAACACGAGGAAGUGAAUCGGAAAAUCGAAAACUUGAGUGCAGACGAGGACAGGGGAACUACCUGUGUAGCGGGGAAAUGCGUCGCUACACGGAUGAACAUCAGUGGUGAACGCUGGCUGUCAGGUCAGCAACGGAAGCUGAGUCUCGAAAGCAUGGGUAGCGAACAGGAUUAGAUACCAUGGUAGUCCAUGCCGUAAACGAUGACUGAUAGGUGUUGGAGGGUUUCCGCCAUUCAGUGCCGCAGAUAACGCAUUAAGCAUUCCGCCUGGGGAGUACGACCGCAAGGUUGAAACUCAAAGGAAUUGACGGGGGCCCGCACAAGCGGUGGAGCAUGUGGUUUAAUUUGAAGCAACGCGAAGAACCUUACCAGGUCUUGACAUCUUUUGAUCACCUGAGAGAUCAGGUUUCCCCUUCGGGGGCAAAAUGACAGGUGGUGCAUGGUUGUCGUCAGCUCGUGUCGUGAGAUGUUGGGUUAAGUCCCGCAACGAGCGCAACCCUUAUGACUAGUUGCCAGCAUUUAGUUGGGCACUCUAGUAAGACUGCCGGUGACAAACCGGAGGAAGGUGGGGAUGACGUCAAAUCAUCAUGCCCCUUAUGACCUGGGCUACACACGUGCUACAAUGGAUGGUACAACGAGAUGCGAGACCGCGAGGUCAAGCUAAUCUUUUAAAGCCAUUCUCAGUUCGGACUGUAGGCUGCAACUCGCCUACACGAAGUCGGAAUCGCUAGUAAUCGCGGAUCAGCACGCCGCGGUGAAUACGUUCCCGGGCCUUGUACACACCGCCCGUCACACCAUGAGAGUUUGUAACACCCGAAGCCGGUGGCGUAACCCUUUUAGGGAGCGAGCCGUCUAAUGGUGGACAAAAGAUCGCCCGG
This 927-nucleotide ribosomal RNA is filed under the name Lacticaseibacillus rhamnosus. RNAcentral describes it as "bacterial SSU rRNA". It matches the Rfam family "Bacterial small subunit ribosomal RNA", at positions 561 to 1480 of the family's 1533-position model. Lineage: Bacteria; Bacillati; Bacillota; Bacilli; Lactobacillales; Lactobacillaceae. The record is from RNAcentral.